UGUAUUCCUGCAGUCAUAUUUGCAGAGGUGCUUUUAUAGUUAUCAGAUAUCUAAUAGCACUGAGAGGAGCAGUGGUUUCUUCAUAACUGCCUGGAUCCCACCCACAGGUCGCCAAAGGAAGCUCUUUAAGACCAGUAUAAGAAAAUGUCUGGUGUACUAAAAGUGUUUGGAAAAGACGACAAAGACAAAGACAAAGACAAAGAUAAGCACAAAGAUAAAGACAAAAAGCACGGAGAGGCAAAGGGCAAAAAGGAGAAAAAAAAGAAAGAGAAAAAGGAAGGACAAAAGUGUGACAGUAGCUCCAGCUCUGACAGUGACUCUGAUGGAGGAAAGAAGAAAAAGGACAAGCACUAGAGUCUCCCAAUGCGCAACAUCCGCACAGGGAUCCUGCUGAUUGUUUCCCAUAGGUUACUGCUUAUGGGCAAAUAUUAAAUAACCUAUUAAAUAACCUCAUAUGUUUGUAUGUGAUUUUUAAAGAAAAUAUUAAAGAUAUUCCUAAUGAAA
This is a long non-coding RNA of Xenopus tropicalis (tropical clawed frog), 504 nucleotides long. RefSeq lists it as uncharacterized. The record is from RefSeq and is a predicted model, not a curated record. The transcript has 5 exons. NCBI's taxonomy places the organism in Eukaryota, Metazoa, Chordata, Amphibia, Anura, Pipidae.